GGCGAAGGGGGCUAGCGUUGUUCGGAAUUACUGGGCGUAAAGCGAGUGUAGGUGGUUGUCGUAGUCAGGCGUGAAAGCCUUGAGCUCAACUCAAGAAAUGCGCUUGAUACUGGGCAGCUAGAGGACCGGAGAGGAUAGUGGAAUUCCCAGUGUAGUGGUGAAAUACGUAGAGAUUGGGAAGAACACCAGUGGCGAAGGCGGCUAUCUGGACGGUUUCUGACACUAAGACUCGAAAGCGUGGGGAGCAAACAGG
RNAcentral lists this ribosomal RNA (253 nucleotides) under uncultured bacterium. RNAcentral describes it as "partial 16S ribosomal RNA". It matches the Rfam family "Bacterial small subunit ribosomal RNA", at positions 524 to 776 of the family's 1533-position model. The record is from RNAcentral.